Molecule: ribosomal RNA, 538 nt
Filed under: Karlodinium veneficum
Lineage: Eukaryota; Dinophyceae; Gymnodiniales; Kareniaceae
Description: partial Bacterial large subunit ribosomal RNA
Rfam family: Bacterial large subunit ribosomal RNA
Source: RNAcentral
CGGCGAGCGAACGGGAAUUAGCCCAAACCAGUAAUGUUUCGGCAUUACUGGGGUUGUAGGACUACGUUGUGGACUUGUAUUUUAUAGUGGAAUUACUUGGAAAGGUAAGCCAUAGGAAGUGAUAGCCUUGUACACGAAAUAGAAUACAUACCUAGUAGUAUCCUGAGUACCGCGGAACAUGUGAAAUUCUGUGGGAAUCUGCCGGAACCAUCCGGUAAGGCUAAAUACUCCUGAGAGACCGAUAGUGAACUAGUACCGUGAGGGAAAGGUGAAAAGUACCCUGAACAAGGGAGUGAAAAAGAACCUGAAACCAUAUGCUUACAAGCGGUCGGAGCCUACGGGUGACGGCGUGCCUUUUGCAUAAUGAGCCUACGAGUUACUCCUCGUUAGCGAGGUUAAGGAUUUAAGAUCCGGAGCCGAAGCGAAAGCAAGUCUGAAUAGGGCGAUUAGUUAGCGGGGGUAGACGCGAAACCGUGUGAUCUACCCAUGAUCAGGUUGAAGCUUCGUUAAACCGAAGUGGAGGACCGAACCAGUUCAC